RNAcentral lists this ribosomal RNA (193 nucleotides) under uncultured Vibrionaceae bacterium. RNAcentral describes it as "partial 16S ribosomal RNA". It matches the Rfam family "Bacterial small subunit ribosomal RNA", at positions 340 to 525 of the family's 1533-position model. Lineage: Bacteria; Pseudomonadati; Pseudomonadota; Gammaproteobacteria; Vibrionales; Vibrionaceae. The record is from RNAcentral.
UACGGGAGGCAGCAGUGGGGAAUAUUGCACAAUGGGCGCAAGCCUGAUGCAGCCAUGCCGCGUGUAUGAAGAAGGCCUUCGGGUUGUAAAGUACUUUCAGCAGUGAGGAAGGGGUGAUGUUUAAUAGAUACCAUUCUUGACGUUAGCUGCAGAAGAAGCACCGGCUAACUCCGUGCCAGCAGCCGCGGUAAUA